ACGCUCGACACCUACUGGAGGCAGCAGUGGGGAAUAUUGGGCAAUGGGCGCAAGCCUGACCCAGCAACGCCGCGUGAAGGAAGAAGGCUUUCGGGUUGUAAACUUCUUUUGUCAGGGAACAGUAGAAGAGGGUACCUGACGAAUAAGCCACGGCUAACUACGUGUCAGCAGCCGCGGUAAUCUGAGCGGGCUGGCAAGGC
This 200-nucleotide ribosomal RNA is filed under the name uncultured bacterium. Its description in RNAcentral is "partial 16S ribosomal RNA". It matches the Rfam family "Bacterial small subunit ribosomal RNA", at positions 328 to 539 of the family's 1533-position model. The record is from RNAcentral.